AGAGUUUGAUUCUGGCUCAGGAUGAACGCUGGCGGCGUGCUUAACACAUGCAAGUCGAACGGAGUUUUAACGGAAGUUUCGGAUGGAAGUUUAAGAACUUAGUGGCGGACGGGUGAGUAACGCGUGGGUAACCCGCCUCAUACAGGGGGAUAACAGUUAGAAAUGACUGCUAACACCGCAUAAUAUAGUGAAACCGCAUGAUUUUUGCUAUCAAAUAUUUAUAGGUAUGAGAUGGGCCCGCGUCUGAUUAGCUAGUUGGUGGGGUAAAAGCCUACCAAGGCGACGAUCAGUAGCCGGCUUGAGAGAGUGACCGGCCACAUUGGGACUGAGACACGGCCCAAACUCCUACGGGAGGCAGCAGUGGGGAAUAUUGGACAAUGGGGGAAACCCUGAUCCAGCGACGCCCGCGUGAGUGAAGAAGUAUUUCGGUAUGUAAAGCUCUAUCAGCAGGGAAGAUAAUGACAGUACCUGACUAAGAAGCCCCGGCUAACUACGUGCCAGCAGCUGC
Molecule: ribosomal RNA, 508 nt
Filed under: uncultured bacterium
Lineage: Bacteria
Description: bacterial SSU rRNA
Rfam family: Bacterial small subunit ribosomal RNA
Source: RNAcentral